UGUCGAAUGAGAUGAAUGAAACAAAAACGAUUUGUUGUCGGAGGUCAAUGGGCGCCCUGCGCGUGUGUCGGCUUUGAUUUUGGUUCAGCUCAAGUAUUUCGUUUAAGUUAUGGCAGAAAGCUCGAGUGGUGAUGAAAUAGUUACGUAACAGAGAUUCUCGCUCCGGAUCAGUCGCGGGCCCUGGUGCUGUUCGUCGCGAAAGGAAUGUCUGGCAUGCGCCCGUACGAUGAGGUUAGAUGCUCAGCUCGUCGUCAUCCUCAACUUGGUGUCAGCCCCAGGGGAGCACAGGGUUGCUGGCCUCAAUGGGAAUGGCAUCAACGUUUGACCACCGAUAAAUAGAGGCUCCGCGCCCGUCGUCCUGCACCGCCACACAAUGUCCCACAGCCGCCCCGUGACGGAUGGCAAAGAAGGCGGCGCCGCCGGCAGAAGAACCGAUAGCGACGCGGACGGCGGCGUCUCCUCUCGCCGGACCCAGCAGCCUGCAGGCAGCCUGCCCAGCCAGGCGCGACGGUCCACACGACGCUGACGUCAGACCGGGCGUCCCGGCGACCCGCAGGCCACGCCACGCCACGCCUCGCCACGCCACGCCACGCCACGCCACGCCACGCC
Long non-coding RNA from Frankliniella occidentalis (western flower thrips), 609 nucleotides. RefSeq lists it as uncharacterized. NCBI's taxonomy places the organism in Eukaryota, Metazoa, Arthropoda, Insecta, Thysanoptera, Thripidae. The record is from RefSeq and is a predicted model, not a curated record. The transcript has 3 exons.